ACCUGUUCCCAUGCCGAACACAGAAGUUAAGCUCUUGAACGCCGAUGGUAGUUGGGACUUUGUCCCUGUGAGAGUAGGACGUUGCCAGGC
This 90-nucleotide ribosomal RNA is filed under the name Priestia filamentosa. Lineage: Bacteria; Bacillati; Bacillota; Bacilli; Caryophanales; Bacillaceae. The record is from RNAcentral.